ACAGUGGACGCGAGCAUCUUUGUAGCAAGACAAGCUACUAAGGGCACAUGGUGGAUGCCUUGGCACCAAGAGCCGAUGAAGGACGUAUGAGCCUGCGAUAAGCCCCGGGGAGCUGGCAACAGAGCUGUGAUCCGGGGAUUUCCGAAUGGGGAAACCCAGCUGGAGUCAUGUCCAGUUACCUCUGCCUGAACACAUAGGGCAGUUGGAGGGAACGAGGGGAAGUGAAACAUCUCAGUACCCUCAGGAAGAGAAAACAAAAGUGAUUCCGAGAGUAGUGGCGAGCGAAAUCGGAAGAGGCCAAACUCAUGCAGUGUGAUAGCCGGCAGGCGUUGCUGUUUGAGGGUUGUGGGGCCGUUUAGUUGAUUCUGCCGAGUCAACACAGAGUAAGAAAUCAUUGAUGAAGUCGAAGAGGACUGGAAAGUCCCGGCGUAGAGGGUGAUACCCCCGUACACGUAAGUCAAUGACUCUGAAGCGUCACCCCAAGUAACACGGAACCCCUGAAAUUCCGUGUGAAUCUGGCGGGACCACCCGUUAAGCCUAAAUACUCCUUGGUGACCGAUAGCGGACAAGUACCGUGAGGGAAAGGUGAAAAGUACCCCUGGCGGGGAGUGAAAUAGUACCUGAAACCAUGUGCCUACAAUCCGUUGGAGCGGGUGUUUACACCUGUGACAGCGUGCCUUUUGAAGAAUGAGCCUGCGAGUUUGCGGUGUGUCGCAAGGUUAACCCGUGUGGGGAAGCCGUAGCGAAAGCGAGUCCUAAUAGGGCGACUGAGUGGCACGCUCAAGACCCGAAGCGAAGUGAUCUAUCCAUGGGCAGGUUGAAGCGCGGGUAAGACCGCGUGGAGGACCGAACCCACUUAGGUUGAAAACUGAGGGGAUGACCUGUGGAUAGGGGUGAAAGGCCAAUCAAACUUCGUGAUAGCUGGUUCUCCCCGAAAUGCAUUUAGGUGCAGCGUCGCGUGUUUCUUGCCGGAGGUAGAGCACUGGAUAGUCUAGGGGGCCUACAAGCUUACCGAAAUUAGCCAAACUCCGAAUGCCGGUAAGUUAGAGCGCGGCAGUGAGACAGUGGGGGAUAAGCUCCAUUGUCGAGAGGGAAACAGCCCAGACCAUCAGCUAAGGUCCCUAAGCGAUAACUAAGUGGAAAAGGAUGUGGAGUCGCACAGACAACCAGGAGGUUGGCUUAGAAGCAGCCACCCUUGAAAGAGUGCGUAAUAGCUCACUGGUCAAGUGAUUCUGCGCCGACAAUGUAGCGGGGCUCAAGUUAUCCACCGAAGCUAUGGUAUUCGUGCGUUAAGACAGGCCUUCGGGUCCAGUUGCACGGAUAGGUAGGGGAGCGUCGUGUGGCGAGUGAAGCGGCGGUGUGAACCAGUCGUGGACGCCACACGAGUGAGAAUGCAGGCAUGAGUAGCGAAUGAAGAGUGAGAAACUCUUCCGCCGAAUGAUCAAGGGUUCCAGGGUCAAGCUAAUCUGCCCUGGGUAAGUCGGGACCUAAGGCGAGGCCGACAGGCGUAGUCGAUGGACAACGGGUUGAUAUUCCCGUACCGGCAAAAUAGCGCCCAUGACGAACCCGGUGAUGCUAAGUGCCCGAAACCAUGCUUACUGACCCCUUCGGGGUGAUGGGGCAUGGCAGAGCGCACGACCCGAACCGGUAGUAGUCAAGCGAUGGGGUGACGCAGGAAGGUAGUCCAACCGUGGCGAUGGUAGACCACGGCUAAGGGUGUAGGGCUGUUGAUAGGCAAAUCCGUCAACUGCAUGCCUGAGACCUGAUGGGGAGUCCUUAUGGACGAAGUGGAUGAUCCUAUGCUGCCGAGAAAAACCUCUAGCGAGCUAUGCGCCGCCCGUACCCCAAACCGACUCAGGUGAUCAGGUAGAGAAUACUAAGGCGAUCGAGUGAACUAUGGUUAAGGAACUCGGCAAAAUGCCCCCGUAACUUCGGGAGAAGGGGGGCCGGAUUUGUUAUUGCACUUGCUGCAAAAAGCAAUGAUGGCCGCAGAGACCAGGCCCAAGCGACUGUUUACUAAAAACACAGGUCCGUGCGAAGUUGUAAGACGAUGUAUACGGACUGACUCCUGCCCGGUGCUGGAAGGUUAAGGGGACCUGUUAGAUCUUCGGAUCGAAGCGGAGAACUUAAGCCCCAGUAAACGGCGGUGGUAACUAUAACCAUCCUAAGGUAGCGAAAUUCCUUGUCGGGUAAGUUCCGACCUGCACGAAUGGAGUAACGACUUGGGCGCUGUCUCAACCAUAGACUCGGCGAAAUUGCACUACGAGUAAAGAUGCUCGUUACGCGCGGCAGGACGGAAAGACCCCGGGACCUUUACUAUAGUUUGGUAUUGGUGUUUGGUUCGAUUUGUGUAGGAUAGGUGGGAGACUGUGAAACUUGGACGCCAGUUCAGGUGGAGUCAACGUUGAAAUACCACUCUGAUCGUAUUAGACAUCUAACCUAGGUCCAUUAUCUGGAUCAGGGACAGUGCCUGAUGGGUAGUUUAACUGGGGCGGUUGCCUCCUAAAAUGUAACGGAGGCGCUCAAAGGUUCCCUCAGCCUGGUUGGCAAUCAGGUUUCGAGUGUAAGUGCACAAGGGAGCUUGACUGUGAGAGUGACAACUCGAGCAGGGACGAAAGUCGGAACUAGUGAUCCGGCGCUGGCAUGUGGAAGCGGCGUCGCUCAACGGAUAAAAGGUACCCCGGGGAUAACAGGCUGAUCUUCCCCAAGAGUCCAUAUCGACGGGAUGGUUUGGCACCUCGAUGUCGGCUCGUCGCAUCCUGGGGCUGGAGUAGGUCCCAAGGGUUGGGCUGUUCGCCCAUUAAAGCGGCACGCGAGCUGGGUUUAGAACGUCGUGAGACAGUUCGGUCCCUAUCCGCCGCGCGCGCAGGAAACUUGAGAAAGGCUGUCCCUAGUACGAGAGGACCGGGAUGGACGAACCUCUGGUGUGCCAGUUGUUCCGCCAGGAGCACGGCUGGUUAGCUACGUUCGGAAGUGAUAACCGCUGAAAGCAUCUAAGCGGGAAGCACGUUUCAAGAUGAGGUUUCCCACCGGGUUAACCGGGUAAGGCCCCCAGUAGACGACUGGGUUGAUAGGCCGGAAGUGUAUAGCAGUAAUGCCUAGCUGACCGGUACUAAUAGGCCGAGGGCUUGUCCCUCAA
This 3139-nucleotide ribosomal RNA is filed under the name Nocardioides marmoriginsengisoli. RNAcentral describes it as "bacterial LSU rRNA". It matches the Rfam family "Bacterial large subunit ribosomal RNA". The record is from RNAcentral. Lineage: Bacteria; Bacillati; Actinomycetota; Actinomycetes; Propionibacteriales; Nocardioidaceae.